UACCAAUCAUAUUGUGCCUAGUUGCUG
RNAcentral lists this non-coding RNA (27 nucleotides) under Mus musculus (house mouse). Lineage: Eukaryota; Metazoa; Chordata; Mammalia; Rodentia; Muridae. The record is from RNAcentral.